AUUGAACGCUGGCGGCAGGCCUAACACAUGCAAGUCGAACGAGUGGCGGACGGGUGAGUAAUGUCUGGGAAACUGCCUGAUGGAGGGGGAUAACUACUGGAAACGGUAGCUAAUACCGCAUACCAUCGGAUGUGCCCAGAUGGGAUUAGCUAGUAGGUGGGGUAAUGGCUCACCUAGGCGACGAUCCCUAGCUGGUCUGAGAGGUUGACCAGCCACACUGGAACUGGGACGCGGUGCGGACUCCUACGGGAGGCAGCAGUGGGGAAUAUUGAACAAUGGACGGAAGCCUGAUGCAGCAAUGCCGCGUGUAUGAAGGAGGCCUUCGGGUUGUAAAGUACUUUCAGCGGGGAGGCGUUACCCGCAGAAGAAGCACCGGCUAACUCCGUGCCAGCAGCCGCGGUAAUUC
Molecule: ribosomal RNA, 406 nt
Filed under: uncultured bacterium
Lineage: Bacteria
Description: partial 16S ribosomal RNA
Rfam family: Bacterial small subunit ribosomal RNA
Source: RNAcentral